GACGAACGCUGGCGGCGUGCCUAAUACAUGCAAGUAGAACGCACAGUUUAUACCGUAGCUUGCUACACCAUAGAUUGUGAGUUGCGAACGGGUGAGUAACGCGUAGGUAACCUGCCUGGUAGCGGGGGAUAACUAUUGGAAACGAUAGCUAAUACCGCAUAAUAUUAAUUAUUGCAUGAUAAUUAAUUGAAAGGUGCAAUUGCACCACUACCAGAUGGACCUGCGUUGUAUUAGCUAGUAGGUGAGGUAACGGCUCACCUAGGCGAGGAUACAUAGCCGACCUGAGAGGGUGAUCGGCCACACUGGGACUGAGACACGGCCCAGACUCCUACGGGAGGCAGCAGUAGGGAAUCUUCGGCAAUGGACGAAAGUCUGACCGAGCAACGCCGCGUGAGUGAAGAAGGUUUUCGGAUCGUAAAGCUCUGUUGUAAGAGAAGAACGGGUGUGAGAGUGGAAAGUUCACACUGUGACGGUAUCUUACCAGAAAGGGACGGCUAACUACGUG
RNAcentral lists this ribosomal RNA (505 nucleotides) under uncultured bacterium. RNAcentral's name for it is "partial 16S ribosomal RNA". It matches the Rfam family "Bacterial small subunit ribosomal RNA", at positions 28 to 507 of the family's 1533-position model. The record is from RNAcentral.